GGACGAACGCUGGCGGCGUGCCUAACACAUGCAAGUCCNNNNGGGGUACCUUGGAACGAGGCUUCGGCCGAGGGAAAAGGUUACCUAGUGGCGGACGGGUGAGUAACGCGUGAGCAACCUGCCCUUCGGUGGGGGAUAACAGCUGGAAACGGCUGCUAAUACCGCAUAAUAUAGUUGGAUCGCAUGGUCCGACUAUCAAAGAUUUAUUGCCGAAGGAUGGGCUCGCGUCUGAUUAGCUAGUCGGUGAGGUAAUGGCUCACCAAGGCGACGAUCAGUAGCCGGACUGAGAGGUUGAACGGCCACAUUGGGACUGAGAUACGGCCCAGACUCCUACGGGAGGCAGCAGUGGGGAAUAUUGCGCAAUGGGGGAAACCCUGACGCAGCAACGCCGCGUGAAGGAAGAAGGUUUUCGGAUUGUAAACUUCUUUUCUGAGGGACGAAGAAAGUGACGGUACCUUAGGAAUAAGCCACGGCUAACUACGUGCCAGCAGCCGCGGUAAUACGUAGGUGGCAAGCGUUGUCCGGAUUUACUGGGUGUAAAGGGCGAGUAGGCGGGGCGGCAAGUCAGAUGUGAAAACUAUGGGCUCAACCCAUAGACUGCAUUUGAAACUGUUGCUCUUGAGUGAUGG
Molecule: ribosomal RNA, 629 nt
Filed under: uncultured bacterium
Lineage: Bacteria
Description: bacterial SSU rRNA
Rfam family: Bacterial small subunit ribosomal RNA
Source: RNAcentral